UAUUAGAGUUUGAUUAUGGCUCAGAUCGAACGCUGGCGGCGUGCCUUACACAUGCAAGUCGAACGGCAGGGGACCCUCUGGUGCCAGAGAGUGGGACUGGGGAGUAACGAGUGUCUAAUCUACCCUUGGCAUGGGGAAAAACACUACAAAUAUUGCGCAAUACCCAAUACUUUCCCUGGCGGGAGGUUUCGGGAUCGAAAGACCUUGCCCUGAUUGACCGGCCAAUAUCUCAUUACCCAGUUGGUGGGGUAAAAGGCUACCGCCGCCCCAAUCUAUAACGGGUCUGAGGCCAGAAUCGGCCAACCUGCACCUGAGACACGACCUACACUCCUAACGCAGGCAGCAGGGGGCAAUUUUGGACUUCCGGCACAAGCCUGAUCCUGACAUGCCGCGUGCAUGAUGAAUGACCUCGCUUGUCGCUGCU
This 424-nucleotide ribosomal RNA is filed under the name uncultured bacterium. RNAcentral describes it as "bacterial SSU rRNA". It matches the Rfam family "Bacterial small subunit ribosomal RNA", at positions 1 to 434 of the family's 1533-position model. The record is from RNAcentral.